GGACUGUAGCUCAGUGGUAGAGCAAUUGCCUAGCAUGCGUGAGGCACUGGGUUCGAUCCUCAGCAUCA
This 68-nucleotide transfer RNA is filed under the name Marmota monax (woodchuck). Its description in RNAcentral is "tRNA.Ala". The stretch from base 5 to 65 matches the Rfam family "tRNA", at positions 6 to 65 of the family's 71-position model. Rfam says of the family: Transfer RNA (tRNA) molecules are approximately 80 nucleotides in length. Lineage: Eukaryota; Metazoa; Chordata; Mammalia; Rodentia; Sciuridae. The record is from RNAcentral.